This 339-nucleotide unclassified non-coding RNA is filed under the name soil metagenome. RNAcentral describes it as "partial contains 5.8S ribosomal RNA, internal transcribed spacer 2, and large subunit ribosomal RNA". The stretch from base 1 to 120 matches the Rfam family "5.8S ribosomal RNA", at positions 35 to 154 of the family's 154-position model. The record is from RNAcentral.
GAUGAAGAACGCAGCGAAAUGCGAUAACUAAUGUGAAUUGCAGAAUUCAGUGAAUCAUCGAGUCUUUGAACGCACAUUGCGCCCCCUGGUAUUCCGGGGGGCAUGCCUGUCCGAGCGUCAUUGCUGCCCUCAAGCACGGCUUGUGUGUUGGGCUCCGUCCCCCCGGGGACGGGCCCGAAAGGCAGCGGCGGCACCGAGUCCGGUCCUCGAGCGUAUGGGGCUUUGUCACCCGCUCUGUAGGCCCGGCCGGCGCCAGCCGACAACCCAUCAUCCUUUUCGGGUUGACCUCGGAUCAGGUAGGGAUACCCGCUGAACUUAAGCAUAUCAAUAAGCGGAGGA